AUCAUCCAAUUAAUUGACCAGAUGGAUAUAAGAACAUUCUUUAGGAGAGGUGGCAGCUCCGCCCAGUCAGAUGAGAGAGAGAAGCAGGAGAUUGACAGGACUGAAGGAGCCGGUGUGAUGGAGGUUAGUGGUCUACAGGUCUAGAAGGAAAUGAAUCGAGUUUUUUUUAUUUUCUUCUACUGUGGUAGAAAUGUAUAGGCAUAUGUUGUCAGGCCUAGGCUACUCCAAGGGUUAGCCUAAACUAGAUUAUUACAUGAUAUUUUUAUGCCAAGUCAUAAAAUUGGCUUCUGGAUUUCGAUCAGUUAAUGUUUCAAUGUUUGAACGUAUCUUAAAGGGUCAUGCAGAAGGAGAGGCUGAGGCAAGGAGUCAGAGAGAGGAAGAGACAGACCAAGCAGCUGCAGCAACUAAUGAUUUAGUGUCUCCCUCUAAUGGAGAGAAUAGUGCAGGUACAUGGGGCAGGACUCGAGCAUGGCUGGACUCAAGGACACAACAGAAUAGGGCGCCCCCCUGAAAGGCCGUGGAGAGCCCUCUGUCUUGACCUGAGUGAGAGCUCUCUGGUGGAGUGGGAAUCCAUCUUGGACAUCAGAGUGCUCCUCAUAGUAGUGAUCUGACCAACUCUUCAGAGAGAGAAGUCCAAGCAGCAAUAAGGAGUUCUGAUCCAAAACAAGCGUACUACCUAAAAGGCAUGCAAAAACCUUGCAAACACCACCAACAUCCCAGUUGACACUGGCAGAAGCUUGCCAACACACUAACUGGUGUCAUUUUAUAGCUGCAGCAUUAUAGCUGGCAAUGUCAUGCUGUGAAAGCUUUUCUUCCAUUUUUGCAGGGUGUUCCAGCCCGG
This is a long non-coding RNA of Clupea harengus (Atlantic herring), 841 nucleotides long. The record is from Ensembl. Lineage: Eukaryota; Metazoa; Chordata; Actinopteri; Clupeiformes; Clupeidae.